UACGAAGGGGGCGAGCGUUGUUCGGAAUUACUGGGCGUAAAGGGCGCGUAGGCGGCCUGCUAAGUCACACGUGAAAUCCCUCGGCUCAACCGGGGAACUGCGUGUGAUACUGGCGGGCUUGAAUUCGGGAGAGGGAUGUGGAAUUCCAGGUGUAGCGGUGAAAUGCGUAGAUAUCUGGAGGAACACCGGUGGCGAAGGCGGCAUCCUGGACCGAGAUUGACGCUGAGGCGCGAAAGCUAGGGGAGCAAACGGG
Molecule: ribosomal RNA, 253 nt
Filed under: uncultured bacterium
Lineage: Bacteria
Description: partial 16S ribosomal RNA
Rfam family: Bacterial small subunit ribosomal RNA
Source: RNAcentral